AGUGAACGCUGGCGGUAGGCCUAACACAUGCAAGUCGAACGGCAGCACAGUAAGAGCUUGCUCUUACGGGUGGCGAGUGGCGGACGGGUGAGGAAUACAUCGGAAUCUACUUUUUCGUGGGGGAUAACGUAGGGAAACUUACGCUAAUACCGCAUACGACCUACGGGUGAAAGCAGGGGAUCUUCGGACCUUGCGCGAUUGAAUGAGCCGAUGUCGGAUUAGCUAGUUGGCGGGGUAAAGGCCCACCAAGGCGACGAUCCGUAGCUGGUCUGAGAGGAUGAUCAGCCACACUGGAACUGAGACACGGUCCAGACUCCUACGGGAGGCAGCAGUGGGGAAUAUUGGACAAUGGGCGCAAGCCUGAGCCAGCAAUACCGCGUGGGUGAAGAAGGCGUUCGGGUUGUAAAGCCCUUUUGUUGGGAAAGAAAAGCAGCAGGUUAAUACCCCGCUGUUCUGACGGUACCCAAAGAAUAAGCACCGGCUAACUUCGUG
RNAcentral lists this ribosomal RNA (492 nucleotides) under uncultured bacterium. RNAcentral's name for it is "partial 16S ribosomal RNA". It matches the Rfam family "Bacterial small subunit ribosomal RNA", at positions 29 to 507 of the family's 1533-position model. The record is from RNAcentral.